GCCCCAUUUUUGGCCGAGUGGUUAAGGCGAUGGACUGCUAAUCCAUUGUGCUCUGCACGCGUGGGUUCGAAUCCCAUCCUCGUCGUUGUGACG
Molecule: non-coding RNA, 93 nt
Organism: Paramisgurnus dabryanus
Lineage: Eukaryota; Metazoa; Chordata; Actinopteri; Cypriniformes; Cobitidae
Source: the annotation of a RefSeq genome assembly